Molecule: ribosomal RNA, 742 nt
Filed under: Porrocaecum angusticolle
Lineage: Eukaryota; Metazoa; Nematoda; Chromadorea; Rhabditida; Ascarididae
Description: partial large subunit ribosomal RNA
Rfam family: Eukaryotic large subunit ribosomal RNA
Source: RNAcentral
GAGGAUUCCUCUAGUAACGGCGAGUGAACGUGGAAAAGCCCAGCGCUGAAUCCAUCGGCCACUGGUCGCUUGGAAUUGUAGCGUAUAGGUGCGGCUGUCCGUUCGUUUCGUGCACCCAAAGUCCCCUUGAGCGGGGCUAUAGUCCAAAGAAGGUGCUAGACCUGUACGGGUGGCGAGGCGAUCGGUGGGUCGCUCCUUGGAGUCGGGUUGCCUGGGAUCGCAGCCCAAAGUUGGUGGUAGACCUCAUCUAAGGCUAAAUAUGGCCACGAAACCGAUAGCAAACAAGUACCGUGAGGGAAAGUUGCAAAGAACUUUGAAGAGAGAGUUCAAGAGGGCGUGAAACCGCUGAGAUUGAAACGGAUAGAGUUGACGAAACUCGGCUGCAUUCAUCCCGUCGGCCUAGCGAGCCGAUCGCUUUGACUUCCUCGACGAGGGCAUGGCUGUCGGUAAUCGCCGGGUAAUUGAUGGGUGUAUUUGCGGCUGGUAUGCGCUGAGAGUUUUGCUAUCGCAUGUUGACGGAUGUGCAGUGGACCAUCCCUUCCGGGCGUGGAACCCUUCGCAUUCUGAGGCAUGUCGGUCGUAAAAUUUUGCAACGUUGCGUCUCCGCUAUGGUGCGUCGGCUUUUUCGAGCUGUUAUGGCUGCUGGGUGGUCGCAUGCGACCGCCUGUAGUCAUCAAUGGCGCGAAGAAGUGCUCGAACGCGUCGAGGCGUGCAUCUCGGUGUGAACGUCGACCACCUAUCC